RNAcentral lists this ribosomal RNA (301 nucleotides) under uncultured bacterium. Its description in RNAcentral is "partial 16S ribosomal RNA". It matches the Rfam family "Bacterial small subunit ribosomal RNA", at positions 509 to 807 of the family's 1533-position model. The record is from RNAcentral.
CAGCAGCCGCGGUAAUACAGAUGGUGCGAGCGUUAAUCGGAUUUACUGGGCGUAAAGCGUGCGUAGGCGGCUUCUUAAGUCGGAUGUGAAAUCCCUGAGCUUAACUUAGGAAUUGCAUUCGAUACUGGGAAGCUAGAGUAUGGGAGAGGAUGGUAGAAUUCCAGGUGUAGCGGUGAAAUGCGUAGAGAUCUGGAGGAAUACCGAUGGCGAAGGCAGCCAUCUGGCCUAAUACUGACGCUGAGGUACGAAAGCAUGGGGAGCAAACAGGAUUAGAUACCCGAGUAGUCCCUGUCUCUUAUAC